GAUCAUGGCUCAGGAUGAACGCUAGCUACAGGCUUAACACAUGCAAGUCGAGGGGAAACGAUAUUGGAAGCUUGCUUCCGAUAGGCGUCGACCGGCGCACGGGUGAGUAACGCGUAUCCAACCUGCCCAUCACUUGGGGAUAACCUUGCGAAAGUAAGACUAAUACCCAAUGAUAUCUCUAGAAGACAUCUGAAGGAGAUUAAAGAUUUAUCGGUGAUGGAUGGGAAUGCGU
RNAcentral lists this ribosomal RNA (232 nucleotides) under uncultured bacterium. RNAcentral describes it as "partial 16S ribosomal RNA". It matches the Rfam family "Bacterial small subunit ribosomal RNA", at positions 15 to 236 of the family's 1533-position model. The record is from RNAcentral.